Molecule: ribosomal RNA, 393 nt
Filed under: uncultured bacterium
Lineage: Bacteria
Description: partial 16S ribosomal RNA
Rfam family: Bacterial small subunit ribosomal RNA
Source: RNAcentral
AUACGUAGGGGGCGAGCGUUGUCCGGAAUGAUUGGGCGUAAAGGGCGCGUAGGCGGCGCGGUAAGUCUGGAGUGAAAGUCCUGCUUUCAAGGUGGGAAUUGCUUUGGAUACUGCCGCGCUUGAGUGCAGGAGAGGUUAUCGGAAUUCCCGGUGUAGCGGUGAAAUGCGUAGAGAUCGGGAGGAACACCAGUGGCGAAGGCGGGUAACUGGACUGCAACUGACGCUGAGGCGCGAAAGUGUGGGGAGCAAACAGGAUUAGAUACCCUGGUAGUCCACACCGUAAACGAUGAAUGCUAGGUGUGGGGGCGCAAGCCUCCGUGCCGCAGUUAACACAAUAAGCAUUCCACCUGGGGAGUACGGCCGCAAGGCUUAAACUUAAAGGAAUUGACGGGG